UACAGAGGGGGCAAGCGUUAUUCGGAAUUAUUGGGCGUAAAGGGCGCGUAGGCGGCCUGGCAAGUGGAAGGUGAAAUCCCUCGGCUUAACCGAGGAACUGCCCUCCAAACUGCUUGGCUUGAGUCCGGGAGAGGUGAGUGGAAUUCCCAGUGUAGCGGUGAAAUGCGUAGAUAUUGGGAGGAACACCAGUGGCGAAGGCGACUUCCUGGCCUGUUCUUGACGCUGAGGCGCGAAAGCUGGGGGAGCAAACGGG
Molecule: ribosomal RNA, 253 nt
Filed under: uncultured bacterium
Lineage: Bacteria
Description: partial 16S ribosomal RNA
Rfam family: Bacterial small subunit ribosomal RNA
Source: RNAcentral